CCCCUCCCCACACACACACGCGCACCCCGCAGAGCGCCCGGACGCCUGGGCCCCUUCCCACGGCUCCCUGAGCGCCCGGACGCCUGGGCCCCCUCCAGGCAUUGAGGACCCGGACGCCUGGGCCCCCUUCAGGAUGGGUGACCCGGACGCCUGGGCCCUCUCCAGGACGGGGGGACCCGGACGCCUGGGCCCCCUCUGGGACAGGGGGACCCGGACGCCUGGGCCCCCUCCAGGCAUUGAGGACCCGGACGCCUGGGCCCCUCUUCCUCUCUCCCCUCCCAAGCCCCGAACCAGCUUUGGGAUCUGAACCAAAAUCUGCUCUUUUUCCCCCAAAGCCUCCGCAGCGCCCGCGGAGGAGGAAAAUGCCUAAAAAAAGCCAAACUGCCCCCAAAAAAGGUGGGGGGUUGUGGGGGGGGCUGGAUGAAGCCGGGGGGGUCCCUGGACGUGUCCCCAAAGGGGGGGUCCCGGGCACCGAACGUGUCCCCAAGGGGGGUCGCUCGUGUCCCCAAAGGGGGGUCUCGCUGUUGGGGUCCCAGCACCGUCCCCGUCCCCGUCCCCGUCGGGGUCUCCUUGAGGGUGUCCUGGUGCCGUCCAUGUCCCCAUGGGGGGGGAGGGUCUCACCAUUGGGGACCGAACACCGUCCCCAUCCAUGGUCGGGGUCUCACCAUGGUGGUCCCAGCACUGUCCCCAUCCCGGUUGGGGUCUCGUCCUGGUGAUUGGGGCCAUCGUCCCCAUCCAUGGUCGGGGUCUCGUUGAGGGUGUCCUGGUGCUGUCCAUGUCCUCGGGGGGGUGUGUGUCUCACCGUUGGGGACCAAACACCGUCCCCAUCCCAGUUGGGGUCUCAUCAUGGUGGUCCCGGCAUCAUCCAUGUCUCGGUCGAGGUCUUGUCCUGGAGAUUGGGGCCACUGUCCCCAUCCAUGGUUGGGGUCUCACCAUGGGGGUCCUGGUACCGUCCCCAUCUCCGUUGGGGUCUCACCAUGGUGGUCCCGGCAUCAUCCAUGUCUCGGUCGAGGUCUUGUCCUGGAGGUCGGGGCCACUGUCCCCAUCCUGGUUGGGGUCUCACCAUGGUGGUCCUGGUGCCGUCCCCAUCCAUGGCCGGGGCGUCACCGCGGGGGUCCCGUCCCCGUCCCCGUCCCCGCGGGGGGCGGGUGGCCACCUCAGGA
This 1163-nucleotide long non-coding RNA is filed under the name Apteryx haastii (Great spotted kiwi). RNAcentral's name for it is "lncRNA (ENSAHAG00000012049.1)". The record is from RNAcentral. Lineage: Eukaryota; Metazoa; Chordata; Aves; Apterygiformes; Apterygidae.